AAAAUGAAUGGGAAAGAUCAUUACUUGUUUCUGUUAAGGACAUUCAUGAUGAAGGAGAUUUUUGUACAUACAAUGUUAGAACUUAUGGAAGUGUUAAGGAGCAUGCAAUAAUUAUGAAACGGUCAGUAACUCAAGUUUAUUGUAGCUGCAAAAUGUUUGAGUUUAUGGGUAUACUAUGCAGACAUGCUUUAAAGAUCCUAGAUAUAUUGAAUGUGAAAGAUAUGAUACCUGCAUAUUAUAUACUAAAGAUGUGGACAAAAGAUGUUGCAAACAUGCAUGAGAUGGAUAUCAAUCUAGUAACAAAAGACUCUAAUCCAAAAGUUGAAGUUAUUGCGAGGUAUAAACAUUUAUGUUAAACUUUUAUCCAAAUUUCAAGUAAAGCUUCUGGAUGUAAAGAAGGGUAUGAAUUGGCUGCAAUAUUUGUGAACGAGCUAAUUACAAAGUUAAACGAUAUAAAGAAGAGAAAAGAAUCUGUUGAAGAGCCGAUUCAAGACAAUAAUAUCCAAAAUGAAGCGAAUGAGACAGUGUUUGUUGAUAACUCAAAUAUCUCAAAGGGUAUGGCAGAAGGAAGCUUUCCUCCAUGGUGCCUUUAACAAUUGUCUCAAGGAUCAUCCCAUCAUUCCCAUGGAAGUCUGAGUCAAUUCUUAAGAGAUGUUUUAUUUAAUUAUUUCAAUAAGUGAUCUCAACGUUGAUUAUAACAACUUCAAAAAGGCAGAGGUUUCAUGGUGAUGGCGAUUUCUGCAACCAUAGUGUUGAUCGCCAAAAUACAGAACAUUAUUUAGCAUCCUCUAUUAAUAGAGUUGCUUUUAAGCAUCAAUCUGCUUUAUUAUUAGCCUGAAAUGUAAGAAUUCAAUAAACAGAUUAUUUAGGGUAUUAUUUAGUUUAAAAAGAGAUGCAAUUGCGUCUACCUCGUUUUUCAAUUUUGUGUUACCUUAAUGAAGCUUGUGUCAAUACUUUGCUUAAGUUUGUUAAUCUUUUUAGCUUAGGAGCCA
Molecule: long non-coding RNA, 992 nt
Organism: Capsicum annuum
Lineage: Eukaryota; Viridiplantae; Streptophyta; Magnoliopsida; Solanales; Solanaceae
Exons: 3
Source: RefSeq, a predicted model, not a curated record